Molecule: long non-coding RNA, 1131 nt
Filed under: Marmota monax (woodchuck)
Lineage: Eukaryota; Metazoa; Chordata; Mammalia; Rodentia; Sciuridae
Source: RNAcentral
GAUGCGACCCCACACUUCUGGAUUGGAGUGACCAAGGGAAGGCAGUGCUGUUCAUAAACACAGCAGCAAAAAAGCCAGGGACCUUCAGGCUCCAGAGCCACCUGAGCCCUUCCUGUACCCCUCCCUCCUGCAGGUGCACUCACCUGGGCUACAGAGGUCAACGAGCUGUAAGGUGGCAUUUUUCUGGUCCACUGGGUUGCUGAGGACACAGGUGAAGCUGACAUUGGGCUGGCUCGGUGGCAGGCUCAAGGCCAGGGUCCAAGGGUUGGGGGGUCCUGGUGCCCCUCUCUGCUCCAGCUCACUGGGGGGACCCUGGACCUCCCAGGUUACAUUCAGGACCUCUACAGCCUCUCGGUUCCCACACUCCAGAGUGACAUUGCACCAGCUGGGCGUGAUGGACGCUGACGUGGUCCAGAUCUGGGCAAGGGGCACAGGAUCUGAGGAAGGAGGGGACAAAAGGAGACAGCCUCACACAUGCCACACAUUGUCCUCCAGUGUCUCGCUGACCAGAGGCAGGAGCCCUAGGAGGAAGCUGGGAGCACGUUACAAAUAAAGCACAAUUUCCCCAGAGCUACAUGUUGACAAGUGACAGCAGCCACUUUAUUAAGCUCAUGUGAUCUCACUAGAUGAAAGAAGUCUAAACUUUUUUUACCAUGAGAAAAUGAUGGCUGAAUCCCAGUUUUUAAGGACCAUUAUUCCUAGAAGAUAGGGGUCUUCUGGAAGGGAAGGAAGAGUGGGACAGAAGAGCUUGUCUGGGGCCAGGGUCCUUUGUCCUGGGUCUUCAGCUGAGACAGUGCCUGGGACUGCACAGCCUGAUUGGGGCAGGACACCAGGCCAGCUCUGGGAGGACCCAGAAAGCUCAGGUCAAAACAGGAGUCAUUGUGGGAGAUACCGUGGCUGCAACAGAGAGCACAGCUCUGCAGGCAGUUAGAAUGUGACCCUAAAUGUGUGCUCCCAACUGGGGGAGAAGGGUUAGAUCCACAGGCCAGUGUGGAAAUCACACAGGACCUGCACCUGGAGUCCACUCCCUGCAGAGGGACUGCCCUAGGCAGAGAGGGACUGUGGGGACCCUAGAGUUGGCAAAACGGAUCUCCUGGGACAUGCAGCAGCAUCACUUCUCCUACCCUAUAA